This 497-nucleotide ribosomal RNA is filed under the name uncultured bacterium. RNAcentral's name for it is "partial 16S ribosomal RNA". It matches the Rfam family "Bacterial small subunit ribosomal RNA", at positions 28 to 507 of the family's 1533-position model. The record is from RNAcentral.
GACGAACGCUGGCGGCGUGCCUAAUACAUGCAAGUUGAGCGCUGAAGGUUGGUACUUGUACCAACUGGAUGAGCAGCGAACGGGUGAGUAACGCGUGGGGAAUCUGCCUUUGAGCGGGGGACAACAUUUGGAAACGAAUGCUAAUACCGCAUAAAAACUUUAAACACAAGUUUUAAGUUUGAAAGAUGCAAUUGCAUCACUCAAAGAUGAUCCCGCGUUGUAUUAGCUAGUUGGUGAGGUAAAGGCUCACCAAGGCGAUGAUACAUAGCCGACCUGAGAGGGUGAUCGGCCACAUUGGGACUGAGACACGGCCCAAACUCCUACGGGAGGCAGCAGUAGGGAAUCUUCGGCAAUGGACGAAAGUCUGACCGAGCAACGCCGCGUGAGUGAAGAAGGUUUUCGGAUCGUAAAACUCUGUUGGUAGAGAAGAACGUUGGUGAGAGUGGAAAGCUCAUCAUGUGACGGUAACUACCCAGAAAGGGACGGCUAACUACGUG